ACAUGCGGCCAUACCCGUAGGAAAACUCGGAACCCGUCCGCUCUUCCCUAGAUAAGCCUUGCGAGUGCCAGAUUAGUAGUUUGGCCGGCGACGACAAGCGAAUCCCUGGUGUUGCAUGCC
This 120-nucleotide ribosomal RNA is filed under the name Scedosporium apiospermum. Lineage: Eukaryota; Fungi; Ascomycota; Sordariomycetes; Microascales; Microascaceae. The record is from RNAcentral.